This is a long non-coding RNA of Onychostoma macrolepis, 1389 nucleotides long. RefSeq lists it as uncharacterized. NCBI's taxonomy places the organism in Eukaryota, Metazoa, Chordata, Actinopteri, Cypriniformes, Cyprinidae. The record is from RefSeq and is a predicted model, not a curated record. The transcript has 3 exons.
UUUUUUACAGAAAUUCUGAGCUGCUGCAUGAACAUUCAUCAAACAUAUAAGGCUGCAAUUUGGAAAAAACUUUCAAGCUAAUGCUGCUGAAAUGGAGGUCAAGGGGACUAUGAAGAGGUGGCUCCAGCUGAUCAAAAGGGUGGACUUCAGGAGGCAGACACACUCUGUUACAAUAAUCAGCUGAUCCAGUCGGUAUCCAGACCAGACGGUGGACCUGCACCAGGAGUGACCACAACACAUCCCUGACUGUCAGCGGAGACCAUGUCAGCUAGAUGACAGAUCCCUGUGAAGACCUCACUGAUGGCCUCAGCACAGAUCCUCAGCAAAGACUACGAGAACCAGACAAGCCCUCUGCACAGACCCUUUUACCAGCUUCACCUGCUGGCGUGAUGUUUCCUCAUGCAGAAGAAGUUGGAUGAAAUAUUCUGAAUGAUAUCAAUCCACAAUCUGACUUGUGAUGCAGCCUGGAAUAAUCACACCACGUUCAUUCGUUUGGCCAGACGAGACUGUUUCCUGACUGAGCCGGGUCUUGUUUGGGUUUGGGUUCCUUGUCACUGUUGCCUUUUGUCUUGCUUGGUUGAAGACACCUAAUAUUCAGCAAUAUUAUUGACUUGACUGCACUGACACCAUUUGAUAAGAACUGAACUGAAUUAUGACACACAAUGUUUUAUAUAUGAAGUUUAUUUGCAAAAACGGAUAACGGAUAAAAUUUUGUUUUUUGUUAUGUUUUUGUUUUAUUGUGUUAGUUAGCUAGUAUUUAUUAGUUAUUCUUUACCUAAUCAAAAUAACCUGCAUGCAGUUUGAUUGAGAUUAAUUGGAAUGCACAAUGAAAAAACAUGAUUUUUUAAAAUUGUUAAAAACGAAGUUAUCUGUUUCUGCAAAUGAACUCUUCAUUUUUAUAUAUAUAUAUAUAUAUAUGCAGUAAAUAUAAUUUACUUGUUACUUUGUGGUUUAAAAAGUGUAAAUGUUUAUACUGUAGUGCAUUUGUUCAUGUAUAUUUAAAGUAUUUGGUAAUUUUAUAAUUAAAGCCUUUUUAAUGUUUUUAAAUGGUUGUAUUUGUGUUUUACUGCUGAAUUACAUUUAGCAGUUUCUGGGCCACAUUCGGCCCGGGGACCAAGCCGAGUCUCAGCCAGAUCUGGCUUAAAGUGUCUGGGCCAGACCUGGGCCACAUAAAAUAAUAGAAGUCACUCUACAGUAUGCGGGCCAGAUCUGGGCCACGUCAAUAAAUAAGAGUCAUUUUACAGGUUGUGGGCCACAUCUGGGCCAGAGGAAAUUGUUUGAGUCGGUUUUCAGUGUGUGUGCCAGUUUUGGGCCGGGGACCCAGCCAGAACUGGGCCAGAAGUGAAGCAAGGUUGUGGCCCAGAGGUGGGCCAGACAAAUUUUGCUAUC